UACGAAGGGGGCUAGCGUUGUUCGGAAUUACUGGGCGUAAAGGGCGCGUAGGCGGCCGUGCAAGUCAGAUGUGAAAGCCCUGGGCUCAACCCAGGAGGUGCAUUUGAUACUGCAUGGCUAGAGUGUCGGAGAGGAUGGUGGAAUUCCCAGUGUAGAGGUGAAAUUCGUAGAUAUUGGGAAGAACACCGGUGGUGAAGGCGACCAUCUGGACGACAACUGACGCUGAGGCGCGAAAGCGUGGGGAGCAAACAGG
RNAcentral lists this ribosomal RNA (253 nucleotides) under uncultured prokaryote. Its description in RNAcentral is "partial 16S ribosomal RNA". It matches the Rfam family "Bacterial small subunit ribosomal RNA", at positions 524 to 776 of the family's 1533-position model. The record is from RNAcentral.